CCCUUAGAUGUUCUGGGCCGCACGCGCGCUACACUGAUGCAUUCAACGAGUGUACCUUGGCCGAGAGGCCUGGGCAAUCUUUUGAACGUGCAUCGUGAUAGGGAUAGAUUAUUGCAAUUAUUAAUCUUGAACGAGGAAUUCCUAGUAAACGCAGAUCAUCAAUCUGCAUUGAUUACGUCCCUGCCCUUUGUACACACCGCCCGCCGCACCUACCGAUUGGAUGGUCCGGUGAAGCCUCGGGAUUGUGGCGGUUGCCUUUAUUGGUGGCCGCCGCGAGAACUUGUCUAAACCUUAUCAUCUAGAGGAAGGUGAAGUCGUAACA
This 322-nucleotide ribosomal RNA is filed under the name uncultured eukaryote. RNAcentral describes it as "partial 18S ribosomal RNA". It matches the Rfam family "Eukaryotic small subunit ribosomal RNA", at positions 1470 to 1796 of the family's 1831-position model. The record is from RNAcentral.